This 930-nucleotide small RNA is filed under the name Pan troglodytes (chimpanzee). Its description in RNAcentral is "retained intron". The record is from RNAcentral. Lineage: Eukaryota; Metazoa; Chordata; Mammalia; Primates; Hominidae.
GUUCGACAGUCAGCUGCAUCUUCUUUUGCAUUGCCAGCCGAGCCACAUCGCUGAGACACCAUGGGGAAGGUGAAGGUCGGAGUCAACGGGUGAGUUCGCGGGUGGCUGGGGGGCCCUGGGCUGCGACCGCCCCCGAACUGCGUCUACGAGCCUUGCGGGCUCCGGGUCUUUGCAGUCGUAUGGGGGCAGGGUAGCUGUUCCCCGCAAGGAGAGCUCAAGAUUUGGUCGUAUUGGGCGCCUGGUCACCAGGGCUGCUUUUAACUCUGGUAAAGUGGAUAUUGUUGCCAUCAAUGACCCCUUCAUUGACCUCAACUACAUGGUUUACAUGUUCCAAUAUGAUUCCACCCAUGGCAAAUUCCAUGGCACCGUCAAGGCUGAGAACGGGAAGCUUGUCAUCAAUGGAAAUCCCAUCACCAUCUUCCAGGAGCGAGAUCCCUCCAAAAUCAAGUGGGGCGAUGCUGGCGCUGAGUACGUCGUGGAGUCCACUGGCGUCUUCACCACCAUGGAGAAGGCUGGGGCUCAUUUGCAGGGGGGAGCCAAAAGGGUCAUCAUCUCUGCCCCCUCUGCUGACGCCCCCAUGUUCGUCAUGGGUGUGAACCAUGAGAAGUAUGACAACAGCCUCAAGAUCAUCAGCAAUGCCUCCUGCACCACCAACUGCUUAGCACCCCUGGCCAAGGUCAUCCAUGACAACUUCGGUAUCGUGGAAGGACUCAUGACCACGGUCCAUGCCAUCACUGCCACCCAGAAGACUGUGGAUGGCCCCUCCGGGAAACUGUGGCGUGAUGGCCGCGGGGCUCUCCAGAACAUCAUCCCUGCCUCUACUGGCGCUGCCAAGGCUGUGGGCAAGGUCAUCCCUGAGCUGAACGGGAAGCUCACUGGCAUGGCCUUCCGUGUCCCCACUGCCAACGUGUCAGUGGUGGACCUGACCUG